Molecule: ribosomal RNA, 411 nt
Filed under: uncultured microorganism
Description: bacterial SSU rRNA
Rfam family: Archaeal small subunit ribosomal RNA
Source: RNAcentral
GUGCACCAGGCGAGAAUACUUUACAAUGUGCGAAAGCACGAUAAGGGAACUCUGAGUGCCUCCUAAGGAGGCUGUUCAGGUGUCUAAAAAGCACCUGGAGUAAGGGCUGGGUAAGACCGGUGCCAGCCGCCGCGGUAACACCGGCAGCCCAGGUGGUAGCCACUUUUAUUGGGUCUAAAGCGUCCGUAGCCGGUUGAGUAAGUUCCUUGGGAAAUUUGGCUGCUCAACAGUCAAGCUUCCAGGGAAUACUGCUCGACUUGGGGACUGGGAGAGGUCAGAGGUACUCCAGGGGUAGGGGUGAAAUCCAUUAAUCCCUGGGGGACCACCGGUAGCGAAGGCGUCUGACCAGACCAGGUCCGACGGUGAGGGACGAAGGCUAGGGUCGCGAACCGGAUUAGAUACCCCUGUAGU